GAUGAGCGCUGGCGGCGUGCCUAAUACAUGCAAGUCGAGCGAACAGAUAAGGAGCUUGCUCCUUUGACGUUAGCGGCGGACGGGUGAGUAACACGUGGGUAACCUACCUAUAAGACUGGAAUAACUCCGGGAAACCGGGGCUAAUGCCGGAUAACAUUUAGAACCGCAUGGUUCUAAAGUGAAAGAUGGUUUUACUAUCACUUAUAGAUGGACCCGCGCCGUAUUAGCUAGUUGGUAAGGUAACGGCUUACCAAGGCAACGAUACGUAGCCGACCUGAGAGGGUGAUCGGCCACACUGGAACUGAGACACGGUCCAGACUCCUACGGGAGGCAGCAGUAGGGAAUCUUCCGCAAUGGGCGAAAGCCUGACGGAGCAACGCCGCGUGAGUGAUGAAGGUCUUCGGAUCGUAAAACUCUGUUAUUAGGGAAGAACAAAUGUGUAAGUAACUGUGCACGUCUUGACGGUACCUAAUCAGAAAGCCACGGCUAACUACGUG
Molecule: ribosomal RNA, 497 nt
Filed under: uncultured bacterium
Lineage: Bacteria
Description: partial 16S ribosomal RNA
Rfam family: Bacterial small subunit ribosomal RNA
Source: RNAcentral